Molecule: ribosomal RNA, 458 nt
Filed under: uncultured bacterium
Lineage: Bacteria
Description: partial 16S ribosomal RNA
Rfam family: Bacterial small subunit ribosomal RNA
Source: RNAcentral
CCUACGGGUGGCAGCAGUGAGGAAUAUUGGUCAAUGGCCGGAAGGCUGAACCAGCCAUGCCGCGUGAAGGUCAGUGCCCUAUGGGCGUUAAACUUCUUUUGUGCGGGAGCAAUAAUGGUCACGUGUGGCCAGACGAGAGUACCGUACGAAUAAGCAUCGGCUAACUCCGUGCCAGCAGCCGCGGUAAUACGGGGGAUGCAAGCGUUAUCCGGAUUUAUUGGGUUUAAAGGGUGCGUAGGCGGCCUGUUAAGUCAGCGGUAAAAGCCCGGGGCUCAACCCCGGCGAGCCGUUGAAACUGGCGGGCUGGAGUUGGAGAGAAGUACGCGGAAUGCGCGGUGUAGCGGUGAAAUGCUUAGAUAUCGCGCAGAACCCCGAUUGCGAAGGCAGCGUACCGGCUCCACACUGACGCUGAGGCACGAAAGCGUGGGUAUCGAACAGGAUUAGAUACCCCAGUAGUC